This is a long non-coding RNA of Symphalangus syndactylus (siamang), 938 nucleotides long. RefSeq lists it as uncharacterized. The record is from RefSeq and is a predicted model, not a curated record. Lineage: Eukaryota; Metazoa; Chordata; Mammalia; Primates; Hylobatidae.
GCCAGGCGGGGGUGCCAGGGACUGGGUGCCGGUGGGGUCCGCUGCGGAUACCGGGGGCGGGCAGCUGGGACUCAGGGCCCCAGGCCCUCGGGGCUGUGGGGCCGCCUCCCCCAAACGCGCCUUAAGCGGUUUUGCAGUGGCUUUCCGCCUGAGGGCUGGGAGGCGCCCCGGCCCUGAGUCAGUCACCCUUUGGCCGGGCAGGCGAUUCCCGGGCGCAGAGGAUGGAAACGUGGCGGUAACCUCUGCAGGUCGUGCCACUCGCUGUGCGCCAGGCCUCCAGAGGCAUCCUUUCAUUUUUAGGGGGGCACUUUCCACGAAUUCAUUUGAGCUACACAGCAGUGCUGGGCAGUGGGGAAUGGUGAGCUCCAUUGUGUACACUUGGAAGCAGCCCAGAAAGGUGAAGACCUGUUCGUGAACUCCAGAGACCAUUGGAAGCGUGGAAGGCUAUGGCUGGCACUCUUCCUCUUUUUCCAGUUCGCGGAGGCAGAUGGGAGGCCCGGAGGAGAAAGAAUGAAGGAAGGCAUUUCAGCCCGAGUAAACUCUCCAGGCCCCCUCUGUGCCAGGCAGUGUUGCAAGCCUCAGCUUCUAGCACAGUGCUUUGUGCACAGUAAACACUCCAGCGGCUGUUGACCAAUGAAUGAAUGAAGAUUGUAGGCUCAAAUAUUCAAGUUAUCAAAGUGCAAAGAAUGAGAGGUUGUUUGCACUGGACUUCAAAAAUAAAUAGCCUGGACCCGUACUGUCUUACACAACGGCUAUGAGCUACUGGUAUGUGGCUAGUCCAAACUGAAAUGCCCUUUAAGAGUAAAACACACACUGGAUUUCAAAGAAUUGGUACAAAGAAAAAAUGCAAAAUAGCUCAUUAGUAAUUUUUAUGUUAAUGACAUGUUGAAAUAACAUUUUGAUAUAUUGAGUUAAGUAAAAUAUAGUAUUAGAAUUAA